UACGGAGGGUGCGAGCGUUGUCCGGAAUCACUGGGCGUAAAGGGCGCGUAGGUGGCGCGACAAGUCAACGGGUGAAAGCCCGGGGCUCAACCCCGGGUCGGCCCAUGGCAAACUGGGGGGCUUGAGCAUUGGUAGAGGCAGGCGGAAUUCCGGGGUGUAGCGGUGGAAUGCGUAGAGAUUGGAAAGAACACCGAUGGCGAAGGCACUUUACUGGGCUAUUACUAACACUCAGAGACGAAAGCUAGGGUAGCAAAUGGG
Molecule: ribosomal RNA, 258 nt
Filed under: uncultured bacterium
Lineage: Bacteria
Description: partial 16S ribosomal RNA
Rfam family: Bacterial small subunit ribosomal RNA
Source: RNAcentral